RNAcentral lists this long non-coding RNA (1648 nucleotides) under Cricetulus griseus (Chinese hamster). RNAcentral's name for it is "lncRNA (ENSCGRG00015036065.1)". Lineage: Eukaryota; Metazoa; Chordata; Mammalia; Rodentia; Cricetidae. The record is from RNAcentral.
GGGCUCCAGCUUGCCGCGGCCAGCCGGCCGCCUGCUCGCACCCCGCCCGGGCCGCCCCCCGCCAUGAGCGCCGCGCGCUGGCUGCAGGCAGAGUCGCUGCCGCCCGGCCGCCGCUGGCUCCAGUCCGCCGCCAUUAUUCUUUGUUCGCUGCGAGCGGCGGCGGUGUUGUGGGGCUCGGGCGGAGGCUCCAUCUUUACCGCGGCCCCUCCUGCGAGGGGAAGGCCCCGAGCGCGGGUGUCCGGCGCCUCCCCGGCCCCCCUCCGUCCCCCCGGCUCUCUCCGGCUCCUGCCUCCUCCUCCUGCUCCUCUUACCGGUGGUACAAGCUCCUCCGUCACUGCUUUCGUUCGCGGCCCGGAUCUCGCUGGAGUUUUAUUCUCUCCCCCACGUAACACACCGCGUCAAACUACACCUCCGCCGCGUCACUCACCAACACUCCGCUUCUCCCAGCCGCCCGGGCCACAGGCAGCAGCAGCCGCCGCCGACUGAGGAGCCGCAGCCAGGGAGCCAGCCAGCGCCGCCCAGUGCCGAGUGCGCAGCGGCCACUCACGGAAACAGCCGAGCUCGGCCCGGAGCCGCUCGAGAGGCCCCGCCCCCACGCUGGCGGCGGAACCUGCCGAAGGCUUUCGGCCUCUUCCGGGAGCAGCAAAGGCAUGGAUCGCGGAAGACAGGUGUAGGCGGGUUGAGACCCGCUCUGCUGGAGCGGUCCAAACCUCAAUACGGCGAGCUGAGGCUUCAAACGCCGGCUGAGGAAAUUUGGAGGAAGCGGGGUUUGAGUGCGGCCAGAUCGGGGGAUUCCCGGGGUGGCGGGGACUUGAUGGAAACCCCCGCGCGGUCUGAUCCUGCGGCGGAAGCAGACCGCCCGGGAACUUUGACAAGCCGCGAGGGUCAGGAGCCGUGCCGGCGAGCUGGAAGGGCAGGCGGACGCCGGCCACCAGCAAGGGGAAUCUGCCGAGAACUGUCUAAAGGGCCCCAGGUGGUUCUUUGCCGGAAUGAAAGCUACCUGACACGUGGCAUGUGAGAUUCUGCUUGGCUGCCUGUACAGCCAGAGCCCUGCGGGGAGGAAAACCAUAGGACACAGAAGAGGCUGAUUUGGAGCAGAGAGAGCAUCCAGAUGUGGGGGUGACAGAUGGAAUCGGCAGGGAAGGAUUUGUUCUCGGGAUCCUUAAGGCUCUAUUGGCUGUGACAGUUUCUCAGACUUUUCUCCUUCGAUGGACCUGAGAGUUUAAAGAAGACUGUCAUUGUGGAAGGCCUGUCCUUCAUUACAAUUUGUCCUCGGCAUAUUUUAAUUAUGAUCUGGGAGAUUGGAAAACCUUGUUAUUGUCCCUGGAGCUGUUACUCCAAAUUACAGAGAACCUUCAACAGACCUCCAGCGUGGCGUGAAGAUGUCUUGAGUAAGAUAACAUGAAGAUAUACUCAAGGACCACUGAGCAUCCCCCCAGGGCAUUUCCUGUCCUAUGAAUACCAGUCUGAAGACCUUGGGCCAAGUUGUUGGGUUUUAGUUCUUCCUCACUUCUGAGGAAGGGUUCUGAAGCUUAAUGAAACUAGACUUUUGGUGUGCAUCUGGAAAAGUCAUUGGAUUUCUCCGAACCUACUGAUUAAUCUAUUAAAAUUCGAGAGCUAGGCACAAUUAGAAGAGUGGAAAGUCAAG